RNAcentral lists this transfer RNA (76 nucleotides) under Parageobacillus thermoglucosidasius. RNAcentral describes it as "tRNA-Ala". Lineage: Bacteria; Bacillati; Bacillota; Bacilli; Caryophanales; Anoxybacillaceae. The record is from RNAcentral.
GCAGUGUAACUGACAAGCGUGGGAGAGCGUCGUGCUGGCAGCGCGAAGGUCACCGGUUCGAACCCGGUAUGCUCCA